GGCGGAAUAGCUCAGCUGGCUAGAGCACGCGGUUCAUACCCGCGGUGUCGGGGGUUCAAGUCCCUUUUCCGCUA
RNAcentral lists this transfer RNA (74 nucleotides) under Clostridiales bacterium. RNAcentral's name for it is "tRNA-Met". It matches the Rfam family "tRNA". From Rfam's summary of the family: Transfer RNA (tRNA) molecules are approximately 80 nucleotides in length. Their secondary structure includes four short double-helical elements and three loops (D, anti-codon, and T loops). The record is from RNAcentral. Lineage: Bacteria; Bacillati; Bacillota; Clostridia; Eubacteriales.